Molecule: ribosomal RNA, 254 nt
Filed under: uncultured bacterium
Lineage: Bacteria
Description: partial 16S ribosomal RNA
Rfam family: Bacterial small subunit ribosomal RNA
Source: RNAcentral
UACAGAGGGUGCGAGCGUUGUUCGGAAUUACUGGGCGUAAAGCGCGCGCAGGCGGCCUUUUAAGUCUCGUGGUGAAAUGCCGGGGCUCAACCCCGUGCCCGCCGGAGAUACUGGGAGGCUGGAGACAUGUAGAGGCAAGCGGAAUUCCGGGUGUAGCGGUGGAAUGCGUAGAGAUCCGGAAGAACACCGGUGGCGAAGGCGGGUCUCUGGGCCGAUAUUGACGCUGAGGAGCGAAAGCGUGGGGAGCGAACAGG